RNAcentral lists this ribosomal RNA (830 nucleotides) under uncultured beta proteobacterium. Its description in RNAcentral is "bacterial SSU rRNA". It matches the Rfam family "Bacterial small subunit ribosomal RNA", at positions 76 to 902 of the family's 1533-position model. The record is from RNAcentral. Lineage: Bacteria; Pseudomonadati; Pseudomonadota; Betaproteobacteria.
GGGGCAACCUGGCGGCGAGCGGCGAACGGGUGAGUAAUGCAUCGGAACAUGUCCAUGUCGUGGGGGAUAGCCCGGCGAAAGCCGGAUUAAUACCGCAUACGCCCGAGAGGGGAAAGUGGGGGACCGCAAGGCCUCACGCGAUUGGGUUGGCCGAUGUCCGAUUAGCUAGUUGGCGGGGUAAGAGCCCACCAAGGCGAUGAUCGGUAGCUGGUCUGAGAGGAUGAUCAGCCACACUGGGACUGAGACACGGCCCAGACUCCUACGGGAGGCAGCAGUGGGGAAUUUUGGACAAUGGGGGCAACCCUGAUCCAGCCAUUCCGCGUGAGUGAAGAAGGCCUUCGGGUUGUAAAGCUCUUUUGUCCGGAACGAAACGGUGCACGUGAAUAUCGUGCGCUACUGACGGUACCGGAAGAAUAAGCACCGGCUAACUACGUGCCAGCAGCCGCGGUAAUACGUAGGGUGCGAGCGUUAAUCGGAAUUACUGGGCGUAAAGCGUGCGCAGGCGGUUUUGUAAGCCAGAUGUGAAAUCCCCGGGCUUAACCUGGGAAUGGCAUUUGGGACUGCAAGGCUGGAGUGUGGCAGAGGAGACUGGAAUUCCUGGUGUAGCAGUGAAAUGCGUAGAUAUCAGGAGGAAUACCGAUGGCGAAGGCAGGUCUCUGGGCUGACACUGACGCUCAUGCACGAAAGCGUGGGGAGCAAACAGGAUUAGAUACCCUGGUAGUCCACGCCCUAAACGAUGUCGACUGGUUGUUGGGGGUUUGACACUCUCAGUAACGAAGCUAACGCGUGAAGUCGACCGCCUGGGGAGUACGGCCGCAAGGUUAAAACUC